GUAAACUUAGCCAAAUACUUUAUUCAACCUUUUGGUUUAGUCUUUUGAUUAUCAUAGUGACCCUAUAGGCCUACUCCCUUUCCAUGAAUAAUUAUAUUAGUCUAAGCAUCUUAACUCAUUUGCAAUCAUCUAUUUAAGUGCCUCAGCCUUUCAGACUUGUCUAACAAUUAGGAAUAUUGUUUUUGUUUUUGAAAGAUACUUUUACUCUGCUGCCAAUUUGACAGGUGUAUUAAGUUAAUUAGGCUAAUCAAAACAUCACAAAGUUGCCUUCAUCACAAGCUUCCAAAACUUGUUGGACCUAUGCCUAUUGUUUUGUCAGUUGGUGAGAAGAGGUGAGAAGACUCCUGAUCAAUGACGUCUUGUGGCAUGGAGGAGGUGGAUGCUUUGAUGCAAAGUUUAGUCCUAUUCUUGGUUCCCAACCUUUUUAGCUUGUGACCCUUUAAACGAAGCAGUGUACUUACGACCACUCAUCCCCAGUCGCAGAUGUCUACCAGUUGUGACUUGUGACAAGUUAAACCGAAGACUGAAUCAAAUUUAGGGGUUUAAAAUCUUCAGACAGAUGGUUAAAAGUCUUUGAGGAUUCUGGAAAUACCUUCAAAACAGCUGUUAGCUCGUACUGAGAGGAGCUGUACUGUCAACAAAUGAGGGAGUGGUCAGUAAAAGAGCAAAGGAAGCAAUUACG
Molecule: long non-coding RNA, 682 nt
Organism: Siniperca chuatsi (mandarin fish)
Lineage: Eukaryota; Metazoa; Chordata; Actinopteri; Centrarchiformes; Sinipercidae
Exons: 4
Source: RefSeq, a predicted model, not a curated record